GUGUUUCGCUUCGCCAGCACAUAUAUUAAAAUUGGAAUGAUACAGAGAAGAUUAGCAUGCCCACUGCGCAAGGAUGACAUGCAAAUUUGUGAAGCAUUCCAUAUUUUU
Small nuclear RNA from Hemicordylus capensis (graceful crag lizard), 108 nucleotides. NCBI's taxonomy places the organism in Eukaryota, Metazoa, Chordata, Lepidosauria, Squamata, Cordylidae. The record is from RefSeq and is a predicted model, not a curated record.